RNAcentral lists this long non-coding RNA (248 nucleotides) under Sorghum bicolor (sorghum). RNAcentral's name for it is "long non-coding RNA (SBIC_LNC017710)". The record is from RNAcentral. Lineage: Eukaryota; Viridiplantae; Streptophyta; Magnoliopsida; Poales; Poaceae.
UUUGUUUGAGGGGCUUAUAAAUACGUGUUGGCCGGCUUGGGGCUCACUCUCUUGGCAUUCUAGCAUACUUGACAUCCUUGUGAGCCUAAGCUAACACUCUCACUCAUCUCCUUCAUAGAUUAAACAUCUUUGUGAGAUUGGGAGUGAUUCCAACUGCAUUUGCUUCAGUGAUUGCAUCUAGUGGCACUUGGGGAUCGUUCUAGCUGCGGUUUUCUUGUUACUCUUGGUGGUUGCCACCACCUAGAUGG